Molecule: ribosomal RNA, 722 nt
Filed under: uncultured bacterium
Lineage: Bacteria
Description: bacterial SSU rRNA
Rfam family: Bacterial small subunit ribosomal RNA
Source: RNAcentral
AUUAGAUACCCUGGGUAGUCCACGCCGUAAACGAUGAUUACUAGGUGUCGGUGGGUAUGGACCCACCGGUGCCGCAGCAAACGCAAUAAGUUAUCCACCUGGGGAGUACGACCGCAAGGUUGAAACUCAAAGGAAUUGACGGGGACCCGCACAAGCAGUGGAUUAUGUGGUUUAAUUCGAAGCAACGCGAAGAACCUUACCAGCACUUGACAUCCUACUAACGAAAUGGAGACAUAUUAGGUGCCCUUCGGGGAAAGUAGAGACAGGUGGUGCAUGGUUGUCGUCAGCUCGUGUCGUGAGAUGUUGGGUUAAGUCCCGCAACGAGCGCAACCCCUGCCAUUAGUUGCUACGCAAGAGCACUCUAAUGGGACCGCUACCGACAAGGUGGAGGAAGGUGGGGACGACGUCAAAUCAUCAUGCCCCUUAUGUGCUGGGCUACACACGUAAUACAAUGGUCAUCAACAAAGAGAAGCAAUACCGUGAGGUGGAGCAAAACUCAAAAAAUGAUCUCAGUUCGGACUGUAGGCUGCAACUCGCCUACACGAAGUUGGAAUUGCUAGUAAUCGUGGAUCAGCAUGCCACGGUGAAUACGUUCCCGGGUCUUGUACACACCGCCCGUCACACCAUGGGAGCUGGUAACACCCGAAGUCAGUAGUCUAACCGCAAGGAGGACGCUGCCGAAGGUGGGAUUAGCGACUGGGGUGAAGUCGUAACAAGGUACC